RNAcentral lists this small RNA (266 nucleotides) under Arabidopsis thaliana (thale cress). Its description in RNAcentral is "ATSL140680". The record is from RNAcentral. Lineage: Eukaryota; Viridiplantae; Streptophyta; Magnoliopsida; Brassicales; Brassicaceae.
AACUUAGACUGAAACCUUCUGUCUUGAAUCACACUCCCAAGAAAUGGAACGCGCGAUCAGAUUUGCGUUUGUGGCAAUAUGACGGAAUGUACAAGAUUCAAAUGCACUAACAAUCUCAUGGAUUUGUGUUAACCAAUUUCUAUAGAAAGGCUAUUUGGACGGCUGCAAAACGGCGUUAAGUGCGGCUGGACAGUCCAACUCUAUUAUCACCGUGGUAAGAAUAUCUCUAUAUACAUUUUUUGUCGCACUUAUCAUGAUUAAUCAAG